GAGGAAGACAAAGAUAAUAAUUAUUACAUGAUACAAUACCUGAAUAUAUGAAAAUGUACUGAUUUCUGUGGGUUCACCACUGGUGAGUGGUGACUGAUUUACUUCUGAGAGGCAUGACCUGAAUAGCCCUAUGGCAAGAGGAUGGACAGCAGGGUAGCCACAAACCUUUAUGAACUUUUCUGAGAAUUAUGAGAGGCCCUAUGGGAAGAUAUGGCCCUAAUUUAUUUGACAAGUGAAACAUAGAUGGGAUUUCAGGCUCAAAUUUCAAUCUUGACCAUGAACCUUAUGUAGUGAAUAAUCUGAUCAACUGUAUAUGAUGACAUUGACAUUGGGAGGGUGGGGUAAUAGGGUGGGAUGUGUGUAUUAAUAGAUACAUAUAAUUUGAUGUAUUAAUAGAUACAUAUAAUUAAUCUCUUAUGUAGUUUUUAAAGCUUUUAUUUAUUUAUUCAUGAUAGACAUAGAGAGAGAGAGAGAGAGAGAGAGAGGCAGAGACCCAGGCAGAGGGAGAAGCAGGCUCCAUGCCGGGGGCCGAUGUGGGACUCGACCGGGACUCCAGGAUCGCGCCCUGGGCCAAAGGCAGGCACUAAGCUGCUGAGCCACCCAGGGAUCCCUCUCUUAUGUACCUUUGUUUUGAAUGUUUUGAUUUAAAUACUGAAGUUUUACUCUCACUAUUACCUUUGGGAACAAUACAAUAAGUUUUCAGUAUUUCUAUAUCAAAGAGUCUAGGAGAAAGUAAACAAAAUGAAAAAAAUAUUUCAUUAUAUUUGAUAAGAUAUAAUACUGAUAUAUAUUGGUAUAUACUGAUAAGAAUUAUAUAAUAAUUUACAUAUGCAUAACAGCAAAUGUAUACAGUUUACAUUUGAAUGGAACCAAGUUUUGGAAUUCUUUUCCAAAUACUUUUACUAUAUACCUUAUGUGAUAAAUAGGCAAAGCUUAAUGCCUUUUAGACACAAGGUCAACUCCUGAAUUUUUCCCAUUUUAAUUGCCUGAUUUUGCAUACAUUUCUUCUCUCAGCCUCACAUUCCUUAUUUGUAAAAUAAAAGUGAUAACACCUUCAUUACUGGAUUGCGUGGAGUCUUAGGGAUUGAGAAUAAUGAUUUAACCCACCACAAGUAUAAGGGUGUAAAAUCAUGAGUUUUGGUUUGCAUAUAUUUAAGUUCCCUUUGAGAUACUCCUGUAGCGAGGUAAACUUGUCAAUGGGGUAGUUCAGAGUAAAGGCCUAAGGAAAAACACCAUCCUAAUGAAUACUUAGGUUCAGUCUAUGGCAUUAGAAAGAUAAUACACCAUUCACAACGAUGUAUAAUUAAUUAGUAAGAAAAUAUGAGCGCUGACAUAUGAGCAAUACUUUCUCCAUAUUUUCUAAUUUUCCAAUGAUUCCUGGCUGAUGCUUUAUCUGAAAUAUCAAAUAUGUAUGUAUGUAUGUAUGUAUGUAUGUACGUAUGCAAGUGAUUUAUUUUCCUACUUUGCAAGAGUACUAAAUUCCCCUACUGAGGAGUCUUAUAUUUGUAAUCAAUACUUGCUUAUAGGCAUUAAUUCAACUAUGGAUCUGAGACGAAGACUCCACAUCUAGGGGUGGUAACUGCAUUCAUUUCAGAUAUGGAAACACUGUGAUUUGAACUUCUCUCUCAUCUAGGCAGUAAAAGGCUCAGAAAUGUCUUAUCUUGUAAGGGCAGUGAUGUAAAAUAAACUAUGAUUUUGAAAAAUAAGCUAUUAGCUAGAUUUAAAAGAAAUUGUGAGCCUAUUUUUUAUUUCUCCUUUAAGCAUGCUUUCUUUCUUUUUUUUUUUUUUUUUUUUUAAUGCCUCAAUAACAGCUUGGUGUCCAGAGGCAGCCAUUUCACCACUCAUAUGUGUCUAUCAACAAACAGUGCGCUGCUCCUGUCAGUGUUUUCUGCAGUAGAGAUCAUUAGCUCUACUUCAGGUGUUCAAUUUAAAUUUCUCAUUAUAACUAUUUUAUUUUAUUUUUUUGCUUUUAUCACUUUCUUUCUCCCAUUAGAUGUAUUCAUCUUCAUUUUUAUUUUUCAGAAUAAAAAAUGAGAUGAAAAACUUCAUACCUAUUUGCCAAAAGAUUAAUUAUAUUUAACAUAAUGGAGGUAAACAUUAGUUUACCCUCAUCUUUUGGAUAUUUUUUUUAAAUUAAAUAACAUGAAAUCUAAUUUCUAAAAAAAUAAAAAAAUAAAAAAAAAAAA
This 2186-nucleotide long non-coding RNA is filed under the name Canis lupus familiaris (dog). RNAcentral describes it as "lncRNA (ENSCAFG00000058010.1)". The record is from RNAcentral. Lineage: Eukaryota; Metazoa; Chordata; Mammalia; Carnivora; Canidae.